CUUCACAAAAGAAACAUUACCAGUGUUGGGUAUAGACGCCGCUCGUACUUCAUAUCACAGGAGGCGCCGCGUUAUCGUACUGGACGUACGUACGUGUGUACAGGUAUACGGUGUACAAGAUAUGCACACGCAAUAAUCGUCUGCCCGGCGCCCACGAUAAGUUGCUCGCGAAGUUUGAGAAACAACGCGGAAUAAGAAACUAAAACACCCAAACUGCUAGGCUGAGCUUACUCUUCCUUCAUCACAGGAAAUAAAGAGUGACAAUUUCAUGUACUGAUUGAAUGAAGAGAACGGUCAAUACAAGCAAUGCGGAUACAUGUAGUAGACGUGUGAUCAUUGGGAACUAGGAACAUAUAGUGACAGAAGGUUCAUCAAGUGUAUCAUAGCGAGCAUGGAGAACAACAGAUCUGCAUCUAAAAUGGCGGGCUGCAUCCAACGCCUUGCUCAGACUGUUGCCAGGUGCCUAUUGCUGUGGCAACUGGCUCUAACAGUCGUAACAUUGGCCGACAGGUACCCCGUCUUUGAGGAAGUGUACCAGCCAGAGAACAAUCUCAUCAAGUUGAAGAACAUGCUUCUGGAUCAGAACACCAGCGCGUUGUACGUCGGCUCUGUCAAUCACCUUUACAAACUGUCACCAGAUCUGGGCAUACAGGCGACCAUUGAAACCGGGCCUCGGCAGGACAAUCCGGGCUGUAUUGCCCCUCCGGUUGACUGCGAUUAUGAGAGGACCACGACAGACAACAUCAACAAGCUCCUCGUUAUUGACCAGGAUCGCUUGUUUGUCUGCGGGAGUAUAUACCAGGGAAGUUGCGUCAUUCGGAGGCUCUCGGACCUGGGGCUUCUGGGUAAUGACAGCUAUCAAGAAAUCGCCGCAAACACUCCGGAUGGAACGUCGGUUGCCUUUGUAGCCCCCGGACCACUAGGUACAGAUGUGCUCUAUGUUGGAACAUCCUACGGGCAAUGGAUUGACAAAGCCGUGCCAACAGUAUCCAGUCGAGUUUUGCCAGUGGAGAACACCGGCAGCGAUCUCUUUGAAAUAUUGGAAGACGCCAACAAUUUUUUAGAAGCAGAAAUACAGAUUCCUUCAGAUUUUAUCACAAACAAUGGGUUCAACAUUGACUACCUGUAUGGCUUCUCAAAUACCAAAUUUAGUUACUUUGUGGCCGUACAGCCAAAGGACCCAGAACAUAUUCAACCCACCUUCUAUACCAAAAUCGCCAGAAUAUGUCAACAAGAUAUAGCGUAUUACUCCUACAUAGAGUUGCCAUUAUCCUGUAAGCAAGGCGACACAGAUUACAAUGUCGCACAGUCGGCGUAUGUGGCUACCAUAGGAUCAGCCCUGGCCUCAGGUAGUGGUUUUGAGGUUGGCGAGAAGGUUUUGUUUGUGACAUUCUCUGAAUCAAGAGUCGAUGAGAUUGCACCCACUGAGUCCUCUGCCAUCUGUAUGUAUUCCAUCAAGAGGAUUAACGAACAGUUCAACGAUCGAAGGAAGGAGUGUGCUUCUGGAGUGGGUACGACGGACAUCCCAUGGCUUCGCAGCACACAGUGUCCCGUCUCUCAAAAUCUGGUGGAUAGAAUUAACGCAGAAGGAACAGAAUACUGCCACGAUCAGGACUUCAUUCGUCCCCUUGGUGGAAACACUCCCAUUGCAGCCCAGGCAAUCUACACCGAUAACUCCAUCCUGUCGGCCAUUGCUGUCACUGCGCAUCUUGACAAGACUGUCAUCUUCCUUGGAGAUCAACUUGGUCACCUAAAGAAAUUGUGGGUGCUGUCACACUCGGAGGCCGUUCUGUAUGAAGAAGAGGCCAUUCUUAGCGGCGACCAACGACCCGUGGUCAGGAACGGAAUCAUUUUCAGCCCGGAUAAGAACUUCUUUUACUUCAUGACAGAGAGAAAGAUCCAUAAGAUUCCUGUGGAGGACUGCUCCGCUCACACAACCUGUGAGGAUUGCCUGGGUGUUGGCAACGGUGUAGGAGAUCCCUACUGUGGCUGGUGUUCACUCCAAAAGAACUGCACAAGACGGAGUCAGACCGAGUGCGCCGGGUCCGAAGACCCUUCCAAUCUACGCUGGCUGGGCAAACUGGACCAGUGCAUCGCCAUCCUAUCCGUGGAGCCACCCAACACACCCAGCACCAGAGCGCAAGAGUUGACGCUGAAAACCAGAGGCCUACCCCAACUGGAUCCAACCACUGACUUCGUCUACAAGUGUAAGUUUGGAAAUCUGCCUAUGCAGCCUACUACGGUAGACUUCACAACCAACACGUCCUCGGUCCGAUGCUUGACACCCCCUAGUGACCAACUGCCGUCAACAGUGCAAGGUUUCCUGCGUGUGGAGCUUUCCAUCCACGCCACGGAGACGAGCCUAGACAUAGUCAGCACCGACUUUGACUUCUACGACUGCAGCACCUUCACCAGCUGCAUGGAAUGCGUAGGCAAUGAGUACAAGUGUGACUGGUGCAUCUUCCAGAACAAGUGCAUCGGCAACUCCUCAUCCUGUGAUCCCAAUGGAAUUGUCACCAAACGAGAGGGUGAACCUAACGGGGAGAUGGCCUGCCCUCGUAUUGUGAAUGAUGGCCAGGAGAUCCUCAUACCAGUGGGAGUCAGCAAGAGGUUCAGUGUGCCUGUUGCCAACCUGCCAUUACCAAAGGAUGAUGCAGGCUACAAGUGCGUCUUGGAAUACGAGGACAGCACACAAGUGGCACCGGCCAACCGAGUCAGCGAAACUAGCCUGGAAUGCCAGCCAAAACAGUAUGAUUACACCACUGAUGAGAACGAUUUGCCGGUAGUUCUAACAGUGACUUGGGGCAGCGACUAUAAGAUUGACAACCCCGACGACCUCUCUGUUAACCUGUACAAGUGUGACGUGAAGCGUCCCAAUUGCGGGGACUGUUUGGCCGGGCCCGACAAGUACCAGUGUGGGUGGUGUCAUACAAUAGGCAGUCUGACGUCGGGUGACGUAUGCAGUCUAGAGUCGGAGUGUGGUAACACCUGGCUGAGCGGCGAUGCUCUCUGUCCCCAUGCCACCAUCACUGAUUUCUCUCCCAAGAGUGGCUACAUAAGAGGCGGCACCAACCUAACCAUCACGGGCACCAACCUGGGCCAGAAGGUGGAAGACAUUCGCAGCGUGACCGUAGCGGGGACAAACUGUGCCAUCAACGAGGGCUAUGUCGUAGCAACACAAGUGGUGUGCUCCACCCAAGCCUCGUCUCAAAGGGUAGGUGAGAUAGUGAUCAUCAUUGGGAGCGGUAAUCAAACGGACUCAGAGGAGCCAGUCAAGGCUACAUCGGAGGAACCAUUCAGCUAUGUGGUGCCAGAGCUGAGCUCGAUGUCUCCAGCGUUUGGCCCAGCUUCAGGAGGAACCGUCGUCACCCUCACUGGCAAGCAUCUGGAUGCAGGCACAGAUGUCAUUACUGUCAUAGGGGGCCCUGCCUGCCAACUUAUAAGUCGAUCUUUGAAUGAGUUGGUGUGUAAGACACCCAGUGGAUCUAUCGGCACAUUUCCAGUACAAAUGCUAUUUGAUGGUGAACCGAGCGACGCAAGUCUGGAUUUCCAGUACAAGCAAGAUCCGGCUAUCUCUAGUCUGAAUCGCUACAAGAGCAUCAAAAGUGGUGGGCUAGAAAUCAAGGUGGUGGGAACCAAUCUGAAUGUGAUACAGAACCCCAAGAUACAGUUCACUAUCAACAACGAGACCAACAUCACCUUGGCUUGCAACAUCCAGACCCCGACCUCCAUGACCUGCCCUUCCCCGGACGUCAGCCCCUACGCGGUCCAGGCCGUGCCCAAGGCCAAGUACGGCUUUGUCCUGGACGGGGUCCAGAACUUCACCACCCUGAAGGACGUGACCGUGGUCCAGCCCUUUGAGUUUGUGCCCAAUCCCCAAUACUUCAAGUUUGAGGACGGCAUCAAGAAGUUGUUGCUGGAUCAGCAGACAAUCAUCCUGGAAAUUCAGGGUGAGAACCUGACCCUCAUUACCUACAUGGAGGGAGACGUCAACGUGACAAUAGGCGACGCAGUCUGUAAGGACGUGACUCUCAUUACCAAUAGGUUGACGUGUUACCCGCCGCCCACACAGCCGCAAAGCAAGACGGGAACCGAAUUCCCUGAAGUUGUGGUUUACCAUGGUAACCUUAACUUCACCAUCGGCCAGCUGGAGUAUGUGGGUGAGGACUUCCUAGUCUUCAUCCUGAUCGGUGUAGGCAUCUUCUUCAUCAUUGUCAUCAUCGUCUUCAUCUUGUGUAUCUCCUAUCGCAAGGCCUUUGCCAACGACACCAUCGUCAGGCAGAUGGAGGCGCAGCGGGACCAGCUGGAACUACAGGUGGCACAGGAGUGCAAAGAAACAUUUGCCGAGUUGCAGACAGACAUGACCAUCUUGACAGGCGAUCUAGAGGCCAUACCUUACAGGGAGUACCACAAGUACUGCAUCAGGACUCUCUUCCCUGACCAACCCAACCACUGUGUGCUCAAGGAGCUGGCACUUGCAGGUGCCAGCAAGAACCAAGUCGAGCAGGGCCUGGUGAUGUUUGAGCAGCUGGUCAGCAACAAGCAGUUCCUGCUGACCUUCAUCCGCAGCCUGGAGGCCCAGAAGGGAUUCACCCAGAAGGACAAGAGCAACGUGGCUUCCCUGAUCAUGGUGGCCCUGCAGGGCAAGAUGGACUACUCCACGUCCAUCCUCAAAGUCCUGCUCAAGGAUCUGAUUGAGAAACACGUUGAGAAGGACAGGGCUCGGCUACUCAUGAGGAGGAAUGAGUCAGUCGCUGAGAAGAUGGUCAGCAACUGGCUGUCCUUCCUCCUCUACAACUUCAUCCGUGAGAAGGCCGGCGAGCCGCUCUUCAAGCUGUUCUACGGUAUCAAGCAGCAGAUGGAGAAGGGACCGGUGGACGCGAUCACCGGGGAAGCCCGCUACGGACUGAGUGAGGUCAAGGUCAUCAGACAGCAGAUCAACUACACUGUCAUGACCAUCAACGCCAUCGGCCUGAGCAAGGAUGCAGGGCCAGUCCAGGUCAAGGUCCUGGACUUUGACACCAUCUCCCAGGUCAAGGAGAAGAUCUUAGAUGCGCUGUACAAGACGACGCCUUACAGCCACAGACCGCCCAGGGAGGAAUUAGACCUGGAAUGGAAAGAAGAAGGUCGGAUCUUACAGGAUGAUGAUUGUAAGACAGAGGGAGAAUGGAGAAGACUCAACAUGCUCUGCAACUAUCCAGGGAUUGUUGAUGGUGCUACAUUAGCACUGGUUCCCAAGCAGGGAUUCACCAUGUCCAUAUACUCAAAUUCCAAACACUUUGCCAUGCCAGCAGCCAAUAGCCCCGCCCGUUCCGUGACCACACCCAUGCUGUCGCCCGACGUGGACAUCAACGGCACCAAGCUGUGGCAUCUGGUCAAGCCGUCAGACUCGGACUACCACAAGUCUGGGGACAAGGUGCACAAGAUGAUGGCAGAGAUCUACCUGCCCAGGCUACUGACUACCAAGGGUGUGCUCCAGACAUUUGUGGACGAGCUGUUUGAGAUGAUCUUCAGCGUCAAUCACCGUGGCAACACCUUACCCAUCUGCAUCAAGUAUCUCUUUGAUCUCCUUGACGACCAGGCAAGACAUCACAACAUCCAGAAUCAGGACGUGGUCCAUUCCUGGAAGAGCAACAGCCUACCGCUGAGAUUCUGGGUGAACCUCAUCAAGAACCCAGACAUCAUCUUUGACAUCUACAAGUCGGAGACAGUGGACGCCUGCCUGUCCAUCAUCGGUCAGACCCUGAUGGACGCUUGCUCCGUCUCGGACCAUCAUCUGACCAAGGAUUCAUCCUCCAGUCGACUGCUGUAUGCCAAGGACAUACCCAAGUACAAGCAAUGGGUGGGCAGGUAUUUUGAGGACAUCAAAGCCAUGCCUGCCAUCAGUGAUCAAGACAUGAGUGCAAUGCUUUCUGAACAUUCCCACGCCCACCAGUAUGACUUCCACACCCACACAGCCCUGAAUGAGCUCUACUUCUACUAUGCAAUCACCUACAAGAAACAGAUCAUUGAGGACCUGGAAGAAAACGACUACCCCAAUCUGGCCGAGAAGUUUAGCACACUCUGUGAUCAACUCAACAACACAGUGUAGAGGGACAGUCAACGGUCUCACCACAGGGGGCUGCAGGUAGGGCACUUAGGAUUUGACCCAAGUCGUGCAUGGAUUGGAGCAACUUUUUUUUAAGAGAGACGUCAGCAUGGACGUGAGCUCAGACAAAACACAUGCAGAGACUUGGUCAAGUCUAACAGUGGGGCCUGCAGGAUCCAGCACCAGACACCGGCCUUGUCAACUGGUACCCGUGCUGACUUUGUCCGGCACACCCAAGUUACCCAUCAAUUGUUUAUAGACACUAUUGGUGUUAAAUGAGUCUUGGUGUGCAGUCAAAUGCAUACAAAAGAUGGUUUGUGAUUGGACAUUAUUGUUUGCUGUAAAUUGGUUUUCGUGCUCAAGAAUUUUUAUGAUAAAUGCUUUUGGAAUAUGCCUUGAAAUGUGUUGUAUUAUUCUGACUUGAAAUGGUCCAAAAUUGUCGUCUGUUGCUCAUGCUCUUUUUGUCGUUAUAGCACUCGAUGUGGAAAAUAUGAACUUUUUAGAGAGAUGUUGACUGUUCCAUGAAUUGUAUGUGUUUUGAUUUUUGUAUGGUUUUUCUUUUUGGUGAUGGUGCUUUGUAUGUUGCCAUGGACACCAGUAGCUGUAAUAAUUCAUAAUCUGGUCCUUGUCUUGUAACUAUUGUAACGAACAACUGUGUUUUGUGACAAAGAGCAAAUCUGAACUUCGGAUGAUUGUUUUAGCUUCCCUGCAACUGCAGUCACAGAUAAAUUGAAUCAGACUACUCUCCAAACAAUUGUUAUUAAUGUGAAGACAUAGUUACCAGCAAAUCUACACCUUGGGUUAAAUGGAAACCGUUUAUAAAUAGACUAAGAUAGUUAUCAAUGAAACGAAGUAUGGGACACAAUACAUCAAUACUAAAUUGGCAUCCGUCUGUAAUGACAAAAUUGCAAACUGUACAUAUGCUUCUUAUUCGAAUUACCCCUUAUUUUUUUUAUUCAGUUGCUGUAGAACAAUUUAGGAUUUCUAUGGAUCAGUGUCACUGCUGAGAUUUCAGACGGUCAAAUUCAAUGUCUAGAACAUUCCUCGUGUUCUCUGUAUGUUGUAUUCUAUGUGGUAGGCGAGCAUAACGUGAGCAAAAAAUAAUAACAAAGUAUGUUUAAUGUGAUCAUCAUUGUAAAAUAGUGCUUAUAAACUUGAUUCUAAAUUCUUAUAUACUGGCAAAGUGUACAUAGAUUUUUCUGCGUGUGAUUGGGGAAUUUUUUCCCCCCAGGAAAUGAGCCUGUUUUGUUUUUUUAAAAAUAAAUUGGCAUUUUUUUCUGGGAGUUGUUUAAUAAUACAAGAGAUGAUGCAAUUAUAAAGAUAUUAAAAAAAACAAAAAUAAUUGUAUAACCCAAAGCAUUGUAUUUAUGGGUGUAUUAAUGACGUAGUGUAAUGAAGUAGAGGCAGGACUGACUAAGGACUGUGGUUUGUUCUUUGUUAACGUGUUGAGAUCUGUUCAUAUUUGGCGCAAAAAGUGAACAGGAAGUAUUUGCACUACAAAUUCACAAAGAUUGCACAUUUUUUCACCAACGGCAAAUUCCGCAGAGAACGUGUUUCCUGACGUCGAAUUUACCUUACGUUUGCAUUCGCGUGAAGUAUGAAGUGGGCUUACAUGCGGAUCGGUGCAAAUUGGGCUUGUAUGGGCUUCAGUCAAUGUUUAGGGCCAGGCUUUGGGUGCAGUGUUAAAAGCCCAUUGGCCUGAACUUGGCCUGAACCGUGGUGAGAUUCGCUGCUAAGCGUAGAUUUCUGGAGUCGUACAUAAAAAUUGGGGGCUGAUUUCAAAUAGCUUCUCUGUAAAUUUCUGCUAAGCAAAGUACACACGGUUUCAUUAAAGCAAAAUUUAAAAAACUGUCAGUCGUUGAGCAUGUUGUAGAGACUUAAUUCUAUACCGUCAAGUUCGUUGAACAAACUUUAAUGCUAUCGUAGUGAUUAGUUGAGUAGUCUACCACCGAUGACAAUGUAUACAAAUAAAGAAUUGUUAAUAACAUUUAUACUAUUGCUGUAUAGUCACAAAAAAAGAUGUACAUUUUCUUGUGUUUGUCACUUGUGUUGCAUAUACAGACCAAGUCUGACGUAGCGCUUUUUUACCAAUUCAAAAUAUCUUGCUUUCUGUACCUUGCUUUUUUUUUUCUUUUUUUUUCGUGGGAACAAUUUUUUUCUCUUUUCAUAUAGCAAGUUUUAUCGUCUUUCAGUUAUGUAGUUUCACAAUUAUACAUGUAUAAGCAAUAAUUGAUUUUUUGAAAUAUUGACGUUAUGUGACCCAUAUGGGGCCACUUUUAUGCAUGCUUAGAUAAAAGGAAUUUGUGCUUGUUUUCUUUUUUGUUCCAAUUAGUUUUAAUAAGCCCUAUUUCAUAAAUAAUUCUCUGUUGGCUCUAAUUACAAUAAAAGAGGAUGCCUGUAAGAAACUAAAGUUGCUGUCACAAUCAUGAAACUUAUUUUAACAGUUCCCAGUUGUUCUCGGAUACUUAAAUUUGAAUUUGGUUUGUUCCUCAUUCCUCGUUUUUCUGUGUUUGUGCAAAAUUCACCAAAUUGUCAAAGCAACAUAACUGGACAACCAAUCUGUAAGUAAAAUAUUUUGGUCACAGGUUUUUCAGAUAUUUUUGGUGAACACUCUAGCUUUAAUGCAUUUACAGAACAUCUGUGUAGCACCUGUAAAACUUGUCAGAAGUGAGGACAAAAAUAAUAAUAUCAUAAUGCAAUGUUUAAAAGUUAGUUAAAAUUGACAGCUGUUUUGUAGGGUCAUGUGUGUGCCUGUGUACACUUCAUAUGUAUAAGUCUGGUUUUAGUAGGUCUGUCAAGAUAUUAAAAGCUACUAUGCCAUUUUGUCAAAUAAAUUUUUACAAUGUACAGAAAUCAACAGACAAUUUUGAAACACUUGUUCAGAGAAACUUGUGAUUCUGUGAUUAUAUUUCCACAUGAACAAAGAGAUAUUUUGCAUUAGUCUACCCAAAAAGCAAUUGAUAGAAGAAAAAUGUCGGAAGGUAUAACGUCCUUAAAAGUGUUUGUGUGCUAAACAAACUGAAUAUGUAUGGUUGGGGUGUACUGUUUCGCAUUGGAAGUACACUUGCAUGUGGAUACGUGUAUAUGUUUAUGCCAUGUCUUUAAGAUCUAUAUAAGGGAUCUAACAUUUCGCUGUUCCAAAAGUGUAUGGUAAAAUAGGUGUGUAUUGUCUGACUGACUUCUCAAAAUUGUCUAAAUGCCAAACUUAUUUUACAUACAUUUUGUAUAUAAAUCAGCAAUUUUAGUUGUUUUUUUAACAAAUGCAUGUGGGGUUGAUUUUUGUUAGGUGUGGGGUCACUUUUUUUAACCUUGGGAACUGUUGCCAUGGGAACAUCUGUACCAAUGGUCAGUGAGUAUUUUUUUGGUUUGUGUAUUGUUUUAAACAAAUAUGAUUUUCUUUCUUUCUUUUGUUAUGAAAAAUGAAAAAUGGAUAAGUCAUGAUUUUGGUGACUAAUAAAUUGUCGGUUUCUAAUUAGAGCUGAUUUGUGAAAAUAC
This 9583-nucleotide unclassified non-coding RNA is filed under the name Patiria miniata (bat star). RNAcentral describes it as "plexin-A2-like, transcript variant X2". Lineage: Eukaryota; Metazoa; Echinodermata; Asteroidea; Valvatida; Asterinidae. The record is from RNAcentral.